Small nuclear RNA from Equus caballus (horse), 103 nucleotides. Lineage: Eukaryota; Metazoa; Chordata; Mammalia; Perissodactyla; Equidae. The record is from Ensembl.
GUGCUCACUUCGGCAGUACAUACACUAAAGUUGGAAUGGUACAGAAAUUAGUGUGGCCAUGUGCAAGGAUGAUACGCAAAUUUGUGAAGCAUUCCAUAGUUCU